This 451-nucleotide ribosomal RNA is filed under the name uncultured bacterium. RNAcentral describes it as "partial 16S ribosomal RNA". It matches the Rfam family "Bacterial small subunit ribosomal RNA", at positions 29 to 523 of the family's 1533-position model. The record is from RNAcentral.
AGCGAACGCUGGCGGCAGGCUUAACACAUGCAAGUCGAGCGGGCAUAGCAAUAUGUCAGCGGCAGACGGGUGAGUAACGCGUGGGAACGUACCUUUUGGUUCGGAACAACUGAGGGAAACUUCAGCUAAUACCGGAUAAGCCCUUACGGGGAAGGAUUUAUCGCCGAAAGAUCGGCCCGCGUCUGAUUAGCUAGUUGGUGAGGUAAUGGCUCACCAAGGCGACGAUCAGUAGCUGGUCUGAGAGGAUGAUCAGCCACAUUGGGACUGAGACACGGCCCAAACUCCUACGGGAGGCAGCAGUGGGGAAUAUUGGACAAUGGGCGCAAGCCUGAUCCAGCCACGCCGCGUGAGUGAUGAAGGCCCUAGGGUUGUAAAGCUCUUUUGUGCGGGAAGAUAAUGACGGUACCGCAAGAAUAAGCCCCAGCUAACUUCGUGCCAGCAGCCGCGGUAA